RNAcentral lists this ribosomal RNA (441 nucleotides) under uncultured bacterium. RNAcentral's name for it is "partial 16S ribosomal RNA". It matches the Rfam family "Bacterial small subunit ribosomal RNA", at positions 338 to 795 of the family's 1533-position model. The record is from RNAcentral.
CCUACGAGAGGCUGCAGUGGGGGAUAUUGCACAAUGGGGGGAACCCUGAUGCAGCGACGCCGCGUGGGUGAAGGAGCGUUUCGGCGCGUAAAGCCCUAUCGGCAGGGAAGAAGGAGGACGGUACCUGACUAAGAAGCCCCGGCUAACUACGUGCCAGCAGCCGCGGUAAUACGUAGGGGGCAAGCGUGAUCCGGAUUUCCGGGGUGUAAAGGGGGCGCAGACGGCAGCACAAGCCAGGAGUGAAAGCCCGGGGCCCAACCCGGGGACUGCUCUUGGAACGGCGCGGCGGGAGUGCAGGAGGGGCAGGCGGAAUUCCUGGGGUAGCGGUGAAAGGCGUAGAGAUCAGGAGGAACACCGGUGGCGAAGGCGGCCUGCUGGACUGCGACUGACGUUGAGGCCCGAAAGCGUGGGGAGCAAACAGGAUUAGAGACCCGAGUAGUC